This 305-nucleotide ribosomal RNA is filed under the name uncultured bacterium. Its description in RNAcentral is "bacterial SSU rRNA". It matches the Rfam family "Bacterial small subunit ribosomal RNA", at positions 333 to 635 of the family's 1533-position model. The record is from RNAcentral.
CUAUUCCUACGGGAGGCAGCAGUGAGGAAUAUUGGUCAAUGGGCGCGAGCCUGAACCAGCCAAGUCGCGUGAGGGAUGACGGCCCUAUGGGUUGUAAACCUCUUUUGUCGGGGAGCAAAUUCCGUUACGUGUAACGGAGUCGAGAGUACCCGAAGAAAAAGCAUCGGCUAACUCCGUGCCAGCAGCCGCGGUAAUACGGAGGAUGCGAGCGUUAUCCGGAUUUAUUGGGUUUAGAGGGUGCGUAGGCGGACUGUCAAGUCAGCGGUAAAAUACGGGGGCUCACCGUCCGCCCGCCAUUGUAACUG